AAGGAUCAUUACAGAAUCUCUUCUAAAGUUUUGUUGUGAGUAACUAUUCUAGCGCUGCUGAAAUAUUGCGUGCGCGGUUGGUUGCUUGUGAUAAUUCUUUGGGAAAACUCUAUACACUUUGUUUUCUUAUUAGAGACAAACUUGCUUUGGUCAGAUGUGCGUAAAACCACGACUGAUCAGAGAAUAAAUAAAACUCAUUUUUGUUUUCGAACAAAAAACGUGUAUUAUUCAUAGUCAAAACUUGAAGCUAUUCUUUAUUGAAUUGCUGAACUAAACUUAAAACUUUCAACAACGGAUCUCUUGGUUCUCGCAUCGAUGAAGAACGCAGCGAAGUGCGAUAAGUAAUGUGAAUUGCAGAUUUUCGUGAAUCAUCGAAUCUUUGAACGCAUAUUGCGCCCUCUGGUAUUCCGGAGGGCAUGCCUGUUUGAGCGUCAUUUCCUUCUCAUAUCCCUAGGAUGUGGUGAUGAGCGAUACUUUCGUAAGAAAGUUCGUUUGAAAUGAAUUGGCACGAGUCUUUCGACAGAUUGAUGCUAUGUUUUCAAUGUAUUAGGUUUACACCAUCGUUGAUUGUAGUAUUGGGCUGUUGAAGUUAUGGGCUUUGCCUUACAAACUUUACCUUAAAGUUUGACCUCAAAUCAGGUAGGAUUACCCGCUGAACUUAAGCAUAUCAAUAAGCGGAGGAAAAGAAACCAACAGGGAUUGCCUUAGUAGCGGCGAGUGAAGCGGCAAGAGCUCAAAUUUGAAAUCUGGUACUUUCAGUAUCCGAGUUGUAAUUUGAAGAAAGUUAUCUUGGAGUUGGCCCUUGUCUAUGUUCCUUGGAACAGGACGUCACAGAGGGUGAGAAUCCCGUGCGAUGGGGUGCCCAUUCUAUGUAAGAUACUUUCGACGAGUCGAGUUGUUUGGGAAUGCAGCUCUAAGUGGGUGGUAAAUUCCAUCUAAAGCUAAAUAUUGGCGAGAGACCGAUAGCGAACAAGUACAGUGAUGGAAAGAUGAAAAGAACUUUGAAAAGAGAGUGAAAAAGUACGUGAAAUUGUUGAAAGGGAAGGGUAUUUGAUCAGACUGAUAUUCAGUUAACACUGUUCCUUGGGGACGGUGCUCUAGCUUUUUAUUGGGCCAGCAUCAGUUUAGGUGGCAGGAUAAGAACUGUUGAACGUGGCUCUUCGGAAUGGUAUAGCUUCAGUUGAAACUGCCUAUCUAGACUGAGGCCUGCGGCUUUGCCUAGGAUGCU
RNAcentral lists this ribosomal RNA (1228 nucleotides) under [Candida] boidinii. Its description in RNAcentral is "eukaryotic LSU rRNA". The stretch from base 626 to 1228 matches the Rfam family "Eukaryotic large subunit ribosomal RNA", at positions 1 to 627 of the family's 3401-position model. Lineage: Eukaryota; Fungi; Ascomycota; Pichiomycetes; Pichiales; Pichiaceae. The record is from RNAcentral.